AGCAGAGCACUCCUACGGGAGGCAGCAGUGGGGAAUAUUGACAAUGGGCGCAAGCCUGAUGCAGCCAUGCCGCGUGUAUGAAGAAGGCCUUCGGGUUGUAAAGUACUUUCAGCAGUGAGGAAGGUAGUGUAGUUAAUAGCUGCAUUAUUUGACGUUAGCUGCAGAAGAAGCACCGGCUAACUCCGUGCCAGCAGCCGCGGUAAUACGGAGGGUGCGAGCGUUAUCCGGAUUUAUUGGGUUUAAAGGGUCCGUAGGCGGAUUAAUAAGUCAGUGGUGAAAUCCCAUCGCUUAACGAUGGAACUGCCAUUGAUACUGUUAGUCUUGAAUGAGGGUGCAGUGGUUGGAAUGUGUAGUGUAGCGGUGAAAUGCAUAGAUAUUACACAGAACACCGAUUGCGAAGGCAGAUCACUAACCCUAAAUUGACGCUGAGGGACGAAAGCGUGGGGAGCGAACAGGAUUAGAUACCCUGGUAG
RNAcentral lists this ribosomal RNA (473 nucleotides) under uncultured bacterium. Its description in RNAcentral is "bacterial SSU rRNA". It matches the Rfam family "Bacterial small subunit ribosomal RNA", at positions 327 to 793 of the family's 1533-position model. The record is from RNAcentral.